Molecule: long non-coding RNA, 1937 nt
Filed under: Equus asinus (donkey)
Lineage: Eukaryota; Metazoa; Chordata; Mammalia; Perissodactyla; Equidae
Description: lncRNA (ENSEASG00005025221.1)
Source: RNAcentral
GGACCGGUAGGCGGAGGGGACCAGCAGGCUGAGGGGAUGCGCCUCCAAAUCGAGGGCGGAUACAUGUUCCCUGUUCUCAACUCACCGCCAAAUAGUGCAAUCGCUCCAGAAGCUUUUGGAAAAAAAUAUCAUUCAGCCUAAAAGGCUAAUUUUAUGCUCUACUCGAAAUGACUGCCAAGUUUUUGAAAAAUGCCAGAGUUAAAAGGCUUUUGUGAAAAGGGUGCUCUGGGAGAAGGAAGGAGAAGUGAAGGAAUGUUCUCACCCAGACACUACCUCACUGUAGUAAGAAAAACAGAAUAAAGUAAAAUGAAAUGAAAGGUUUGCUUUUCACUUUUGAGAAAGAGCAGCCAGCUCAGCACACAAGGAGCCCUUCUGAAAUUUUAAGGACUUCUAAUUAUAACAAAUAAGCCUGGCCUCAGACUAACGUCCAUCGCUGAGAUUAACAACCUCCAGCUGCUUGGAGAAGUUUAGCUCCUCCGUAGACUCCUUCCAGCUCAUGUAGCGAAUCCUUGUUUGUCUACAAUGUUGAAGGAAUGGAGGAUUUCUAGUCUAUUAAUUAAUUCAGACAUUGCCAGAGGAGAUGGAAAUCUGCACGAUGGGCAGGAGCAGACAGGUGGGAGGCUCGGCACGACCAAGGACCUGGAGGAAAUAAUUUUACCAAAAGUCAGCAGAGUUAUUGAGCACCUGCCGUGUGGAAGCCUCUGCCAUAUGUUAUGAGAAGUACAAAGAACAGGACCUUUGAUCGAACUGGGGGCACAGCUUAUUUAGGUGACAAAGAUAAGUGCAAACAUUGACUGAGUGCUUACUAUGUGCCAGGCAUGGUGGUUUGGUGAAUAUAACUCAUUAAUCCUUGCAGUAAACUCAAGAGAAGGGCGCUGGCAUUGUCUUUUUCAACAGGUCAGGGGAUGACACACAGGUGGGCUAAGUAGCUUGCACAAGGUCACCCAACUCAUCGAUGGCUGGGCCAGGAUUUGAUCUCAGACAGUCUGACUCCAUAACAUAUUCACUUAACCCUGUGCACUACUCAGCACAUAGGAAGUCACAGGUGACCACUGACAGGCAAAAUUUUGCAUCUCACCAGUAAUUCAGGGCAGCAGGAGACUGUAGGUUAGGAUGUUCAUUAAAGUACUCAAAGAGAUAGUAGAUUUGAGUUGGCUGCAGAAAGCUGGGUGAAAUUUCAAAACAAAGGCAGGGAACUCUAGGCAAGAGGGAAGGAUGGGCAACACCAUAGAGGCAGGAGGGGGCUCCAGCCGUUCUGAGGUACUAUGGUCAAUAGGGCCCAAUGCACCGUUCUGGGUAAUGAAGAUCGAAAAAGACAAAUUCCAUGCUUUCAUGUACCUUAUAGAAUAAAUAGCUUCAAAAAUAAAGAUAGACUUGUCCAGUGGUGACAUGUGCUAUGAAAAAAAUAAUAUAAAGGGAUAGAAAGGGACAAAGGAGGUGCUGCUAUCUUAUAUAGCGUGUGAAGGAAACAGCCUCUCUGAGAAGGUGACGUUUCGCCAGACACCGAAAGGAAGAAGAGGAGGGAGUCAUGGGGAAACCUGGAGAUGAGGCAUUUCCAGGAAGAAGGAACAGAAAAUCCAAAGGCCCUAGGGGAGUGGAUUCUUAUCGAGUUUGAGGAAAGUAAGGAGGCCAGUAUGGCUGGAGCGGAACAAGUGAAAAGUAGAGAGGUGGGAGGUGAAACCCAACAGGUAGCUGGGGCCAGGUUCUACAGAGUUUUGUGGACCAUCGCGAAGGCUCUGAAUUUUCUUCUGCUCAAGACUUUCCAACAGCCUCCCAUCUGACUCAAUGGGGCAACAUAUGGACCUUCUGUUUUAUAAAGAUCGCUCUGGCCGAAGGCUCCUUGGAUCAAGGAGUAAGUGAGCAGAAUGUUUUUUCAAGUAUAUUCGACUAGGUGAGAUACAGGAAACCAAAGAAACUCUAAACUAGUAAGGGCAUAG